This 433-nucleotide ribosomal RNA is filed under the name uncultured bacterium. Its description in RNAcentral is "partial 16S ribosomal RNA". It matches the Rfam family "Bacterial small subunit ribosomal RNA", at positions 29 to 507 of the family's 1533-position model. The record is from RNAcentral.
AACGAACGCUGGCGGCAUGCCUAACACAUGCAAGUCGAACGAUACCUUCGGUUCUAGUGGCGCACGGGUGCGUAACGCGUGGUAACCUGCCCUUAGGUUCGGCAUAACUCCCCGAAAGGGGUGCUAAUACCGGAUAAUUUCUUCGGACCAAAGAUUUAUCGCCUUGGGAUGGGCCCGCGUUGGAUUAGCUAGUUGGUAGGGUAAAAGCCUACCAAGGCGACGAUCCAUAGCUGGUCGGAGAGGAGGAUCAGCCACACUGGGACGGAGACACGGCCCAGACUCCUACGGGAGGCAGCAGGGGGGAAUAUUGGACAAGGGGCGAAAGCCUGAGCCAGCAAGGCCGGGUGAGUGAUGAAGGCCUUAGGGUUGUAAAGCUCUUUUACCCGGGAUGAUAAUGACAGUACCGGGAGAAUAAGCACCGGCUAACUCCGUG